Molecule: long non-coding RNA, 2285 nt
Filed under: Homo sapiens (human)
Lineage: Eukaryota; Metazoa; Chordata; Mammalia; Primates; Hominidae
Description: non-protein coding lnc-MYO6-9:1
Source: RNAcentral
AACUUCAGCACUGCCCCCAACUGCAAGGGGAAGAGCAAGGAGUCUGACCUGGCCUUCUUCAGGUUCUGGGGGUUGUGGCCAGAUGCCAGGAGAGGGUGGAGAAUUGUAGCAGAGCAGAGACUUAGAAAAUAAAACACCUAAUCAACUAAAUAAACAUUAUAAAUUAUAUGCCGAACACUUUGAGAACUCUAUGAUCUGUAGACCUUGUAUUUAUAGGGCAGUUCUUUGAGAUAAUGCAACAUCCACACGAUGCGCUCUUACCAAUCAUUUAGACAAUCCACAUAGUAGACAUAGAAAAUGAAUAAAAGAGUUGAGUGAAGAUGAAAUCAGAACAUGGAAACAGAAAAAAAAAAAAUGACCAAACUUCUCAACAGGAAAAGAAAAUAAUAUAAAGAAACUAGUAACAGCAAUGCUUAGAAUCCCAAGUGCGGAAGAAGGAGAUGAGGACAUUUUAUCUUUAACCCUUGAAGAGAAGCAAAACAAAGAAUACCUAAAAUUUCUAUUAGAAAUUUGUAUUCUUACAGGAAAGCAAAACGUACCUCUAUAUAAACAUGAAGCUGAUGAAAUCCCAGAAGGUCUCUUUACUCCUGAUAACUUCUAAGAACUGGUAGAGUGGCUGGUAAAUUCUGUUCAAGAGGUCCUGAGAAAGCACUUUGAGACAACUGCAGUUAACACACUGUUCUGUUAAGAAACCUAUCAGAAACAGAUGCUAGAGAUCUGUCACAGCUAUAUUCAGGAAGAAAUGUUCAGGGAAGUAAGAGACUCGCUCUUCUUUCCCUUAUCACUGUCAAUAUAGAGGACAUAAUGGGGGAAGAGCAUCACCUAUGUUGGUGAGAUUUGUCCAUGAAUCUCAUAACCUGAAAGAGGAUGUUGUAGGCUUCCCACCUUAGGAAGCUGAUGCACAAAGUUUGGCUUUAAAAUUCCACACUGUGGCAACUGAGAAGUGGGGGCUACAAAUGGAGUAUCAUUAUGGGCAGGCUUCCAUUCUGUCCACUGAAUUUUCUUCCAAAAUGAAGUACUUGCUUCUAGACUUUGAAAAACAUAUCCCCAAGAUACCUACAGAGGAGAUAUCUCUUCCUCUUCUUAUGUCUUAAAUAUGUGGUUGGUAGAAUCACUGACUGUUAUGGGGAGUUUCUGUUGCAUUGGGAACAAUUGAAGUUUGUUCCUUUUUUCUUUUUUUUUUUUUUGAGACGGAGUCUCGCUCUGUCCCCCAGGCUGGAGUGCAGUGGCGUAAUCUCGGCUGUCUGCAAGCUCCGCCUCCCGGGUUCACGCCAUUCUGCCUCAGCCUCCCCAGUAGCUGGGACUACAGGCACCCGCCACCACGCCUGGCUAAUUUUUUUUGUAUUUUUAGUAGAGACGGGGUUUCACCAUGUUAGCUAGGAUGGUCUCGAUCUCCUGACCUCGUGAUCCCCCCGCCUUGGCCUCACAAAGUGUUGGAUUACAGGCGUGAGCCACUGCGCCCAGCCUGUUCUUUUUUUCUAUCAAUCAGUUACCACAACUGCUUUUAGAACAUGAAAAUGUUAUUUUUUUUCUUUUCCUGAAGAGUGAAGAAAGGGGUAAAGAACUGAAGGAAAUUUGCCAUUCUCCAUGGACAAGAGGGCAGGAUGCUUUUGAAAUUUUAGUGGACCUUGUGAAAGCACUUAUUUUAUGUUGGCAUGGUACAAAUAGUGACACAAAUAUCAGAUGCAAUAAUCGUAUAGCUGCCCAAGCAUUUGUACCCUGAAGUACAGUAACAGAUUUUGAUUUAAUUGUUACCAUUGUUGUUCUUUAAAAUGUCCUAUUUUUUUUUUUUUUUUUUUUUUUUUACAAGAGACUUUUGGAAAAAUCUCUAGGGGCAAACCUCUGAGGUCUUGUCUGCAGCCAGUAGCUUGACUGCAAUACUGCAGUCACUCAGUAAAGUGACAGAAAAAAUUGAAGUUUAUAAUGAGUUUUGGUUUGAGGAAGCCACAAUAUGACAAUCCAACUUGAUGUUCAAAUGAAAUUCCCUGGGAAAUUCCACAGAGCUCAGCAAGGUAACCUGAAAUUCCAACUACCCUAUGAGAGUUUUUAUAAAGAAAACCUGUGUUCAACAGUGGAGCACAUUAUUCAGGAACUUAAAGACAGAUUUUCAGAACAGCACCUCAAAGCUCUUAAGUGCUUAUCUCUGGUACCCUCAGUCAUAGGUCAGCUCAAAUUUUACACAUUAGAGGAACACUAUACUGGCAUGUAUAGAAGUGACUUACCCCAUCCCAGUGUGCUCUCAGCCAAACUGCAUUGUUGGGGAAUCAAAUGGAAAGACAGAGGGA